AUGCACGCUGGCGGCGUGCCUCAUCCCUGCCAGUCGCGCGAACAGACGAGGAGCUUGCUCCUCUGACGUUAGCGGCGGACGGGUGAGUAACACGUGGAUAACCUACCUAUAAGACUGGGAUAACUUCGGGAAACCGGAGCUAAUACCGGAUAAUAUAUUGAACCGCAUGGUUCAAUAGUGAAAGACGGUUUUGCUGUCACUUAUAGAUGGAUCCGCGCCGCAUUAGCUAGUUGGUAAGGUAACGGCUUACCCAGGCGACGAUGCGUAGCCGACCUGAGAGGGUGAUCGGCCACACUGGAACUGAGACACGGUCCAGACUCCUACGGGAGGCAGCAGUAGGGAAUCUUCCGCAAUGGGCGAAAGCCUGACGGAGCAACGCCGCGUGAGUGAUGAAGGUCUUCGGAUCGUAAAACUCUGUUAUUAGGGAAGAACAAAUGUGUAAGUAACUAUGCACGUCUUGACGGUACCUAAUCAGAAAGCCACGGCUAACUACGUG
RNAcentral lists this ribosomal RNA (496 nucleotides) under uncultured bacterium. RNAcentral's name for it is "partial 16S ribosomal RNA". It matches the Rfam family "Bacterial small subunit ribosomal RNA", at positions 29 to 507 of the family's 1533-position model. The record is from RNAcentral.